Molecule: long non-coding RNA, 936 nt
Organism: Impatiens glandulifera
Lineage: Eukaryota; Viridiplantae; Streptophyta; Magnoliopsida; Ericales; Balsaminaceae
Exons: 6
Source: RefSeq, a predicted model, not a curated record
CUCUCGUUGCUUUAACCCUUUCCUUUCUCCCAGCUUUCUUUCAUUGAUUGAUGAAACACAACAAGAAUUUUUGCAUUCUACAGUCUUAGUACCCAUCAAGACUAUAUAACUAAUUACAGCUACUCCUUGCUCCUUGAUCUGGCUCUCCGCUGACGGCCGCUCCAGUUCCUUGUUCCCGCAAUCGCUCUCUGAACCUGCGUUCCAACCUAGCUAUACACGAAGGAUAGAAGGUUCUAAUCGAUCGCAGUCGCAUCAACGAUUAUUCAUUGUUUACGUCUGUGUCGUAAACCUGAUCAACAAUAACCUUUGGUGCUGUUAGAGCAGGGAAAGGGCGAUUCUCAAGCUGAAAGUAUUUUAAGUAUCCAUCACCAUUCUUGUCGCUGAAUUUACACCAUUCUCUCACUUCAUCAAUGCCACAAAGUGUAUCGCUUUAUGAUAUAGAUGGGUUAAUUUUGGAUGAUAUUUAAGAAGACAAUGAAUAAUUUUCAUUGUUCAAUGGAUUAAUAGGUACAUUAAAUUCAUAAAGAUGGAGAUUUUAGAAAAAAGAAAUUGAAGACUUUUGUUUUUAUAAGUUGUAGAUUGUAAUUUUUUAACAUUUGAUAUAAGAGCACAGUUAUAAUAGGAAUCUCAAUUAACUUGAAAUAGAAGGAACAUGCAUGAUUGCUUUGGAAGGAACAUGAUUGCUUUGUUAGGAGUCAACAGACCGGGUGGAUAAAGUAGAUCCAGUUUGUGUGCUUUAAGAAGAAUUCAUUUGAAGUGUGGAGUGGAUGAAUUUUCUCCUGGCUUGAAAUUGGUCAUUUUGUUAAGACUAAAGUAAUUUCGUUUUUGUUUUUGUAGUAAGGAAAUAGUUGUGACAUAAUUACUGUUCAAUGAUAAGUUAGGAAAUUGUUUAUUAAAACCUUGAAACUAAAUAUUUUAUAAUAUUCUAUGUUUGUU